This 415-nucleotide small RNA is filed under the name Histoplasma ohiense. RNAcentral describes it as "hypothetical lncRNA". The record is from RNAcentral. Lineage: Eukaryota; Fungi; Ascomycota; Eurotiomycetes; Onygenales; Ajellomycetaceae.
AAACUACAUUUCAUUACCUACCAGCCACUAUCAUAAUUAAGACAAAGCUGAUUGAAUCAUAAACCCUCUUUGAUCAUGUCCCGAUUGGAUCGAUAUCUUGUUUCGCUCUGAAGAGAGUAAAUCGAACUCGGUUCGGUGGAUAUGGCCUCCCCUGGACCCGGCUUCAAGGCUAAAAAGCAGAAGAUUAUACGCGAUCUGUCUGUCCCAGAUGAAGAAUAUACAGAUCUCUCACCCAAGGGAUCUAUAGAUGCGGGGAUCCGCGAUUUGAUUCACAAUAUCAACCAAAUGCCAGGCCUGGUUACGACAAGCAGCUGUGCCGGAAGAAUCAGCGUAUUCCUAGAAGGGGGUGAAAGUGGAAGAAAAAGGAAAGGACUAGGAGAUAAAGAAGGCUCUUCUGCCAAAGAAGAUGAUCGGA